This is a non-coding RNA of Gasterosteus aculeatus aculeatus (three-spined stickleback), 3026 nucleotides long. Lineage: Eukaryota; Metazoa; Chordata; Actinopteri; Perciformes; Gasterosteidae. The record is from RefSeq and is a predicted model, not a curated record.
UAUCCUCUCUUUUGUCCCCUCCCUCCCUCCCUCCACCCUCCCUCACCCUCUCCACGUUUUAUUCCCCUCCCUCCGCCUUACAACUCUCGACAUACUACAGCCUUCUUUUUCAGCCCGUACACCAAAACGCCUCGUCUCUCCUCCUUCUUCUCCUCGGGACGGGAUGCUCUCAUAUUCUCAUGCUCUCAUAUUCUCGUGCUCUCAUAUUCUCGUGCUCUCAUAUUCUCAUGCUCUCAUAUUGUCAUGCUCUCAUAUUGUCAUGCUCUCAUUAUUGUCAUGCUCUCAUAUUCUCGUGCUCUCAUAUUCUCAUGCUCUCAUAUUGUCAUGCUCUCAUUGUCAUGCUCUCAUAUUCUCGUGCUCUCAUGCUCUUCGGCUCUCAUAUUGUCAUGCUCUCAUAUUCUCGUGCUCUCCUGAUCUCAUGGUCUCAUAUUCUUGUGCUCUCAUUACAUUACAGGUCAUUUAGCUGACGCUUUUAUCCAAAGCGACUUACAUUUUUGCAAUUAGGGGUUAGGUUUCUUGCUCAGGGACACUUCAACAUGGGACAUGGAGCAGUCGGGGCUCAAACCGCCAACCUCGCGGUACCUGCGCCACCCCACCCCCAUUCUCAUUUCUCUCAAUUCUCAUGUUCUGAAUAAAAUGAGACUUCUCAUUCACGGCGUUUUAUUGCAUCAUGUAUCGAAAGAAGAAAGAUGUUGCAUCAAAUUAAUUAAAUGUUGCUGAAAGUGACCCUUGACACGCAGAGUUUCCCUUGAGUCAAACCCCGGCUUUGACCUUGGUCGACCUUGGUCCUUAGACAGCAGAUGUUCACCUUGCUGCAGCUUUUUUAACCGCCGGCGUUCUGUUGCCUUCGGUCCUCGGCGCCGCGGUUCACGUCUGCCUGAAAGCCUGCGCUGCUUCCGAGGACACGGGUCUGUCCUUCCUUCUACCAGACUCACCACCGACACGCCGCCCGCGGCUAUUGCUGCUCCCCGGUCAGGGCGUGAGCCCCCCCCAGAGCUCACAGGAGAGAAACGCAGCACCUGCUGCUGUGCACCGGACGUCAUUGUUCAUGAAACAUCUCCCUCAGGCUCUCAAACAUUUUACUUUCUCACCCACGAAACCUGUUUGGAGCUUUUUUAGAAGUUAUUUAAGGCUUGUGGAGAAGCUGUCCUUAUACAGUUCAUAUUUCAUCAAAUCCAACGUCCAAACCACAGUGUUCACAGUAUUUAUGGGAUCAAAUCAGUGGCUUCUACCGCUGUGUUUUACAUAGUAACUCUAAAUGUUUUACAUAGUAACUCUAAAUGUUUUACAUAGUAACUCUAAAUGUUUCACAUAGUAACUCUAAAUGUUUCACAUAGUAACUCUAAAUGUUUCACAUAGUAACUCUAAAUGUUUCACAUAGUAAGUAACUCUAAAUGUUUCACAUAGUAACUCUAAAUGUUUUACAUAGUAACUCUAAAUGUUUCACAUAGUAACUCUAAAUGUUUCACAUAGUAACUCUAAAUGUUUUACAUAGUAACUCUAAAUGUUUCACAUAGUAACUCUAAAUGUUUCACAUAGUAACUCUAAAUGUUUUACAUAGUAACUCUAAAUGUUUCACAUAGUAACUCUAAAUGUUUCACAUAGUAACUCUAAAUGUUUUCAUAGUAACUCUAAAUGUUUUACAUUGUAACACUUAAUGUAUCUUAUUAUGUCAUUUUCAUUAUUAAUCUAAGAGCAUAAUGCAUAAUCUAUGGUUUUUAUACACUAUACGUGUGCACGUAUGCUGUGUGGUUCAAAUAUUUAGAAGUCAAAGAUAUGCAGCUCUAUAUAUCAGGAUAACAGGAGUGGAGGUAGAAGUAGCUUUAAGGUGUUUAAAUGUGUGGUUCUGUUAUCUAAUGCGAAGAAAAAUAACAAAUGUUUAAUGCAACACGUGCAGACUGACACGCCGCGCUCACGCCGUGCGCACGCGUUGCUGGCCGAGCCGAGGAGGAAGUGGCCCACGUCGGAGGAGAUAUGCCGGCAUAUGCUCUCUCUCUCUGUGGCCUUCCCGCCUCACCGGACAUCGUGGCAGAGAUCCGCUCAUCUGACACCAAAAUAAAAAAAGGCAUGCGCUCGCCGACGGGGCUCGAACGCGUUGCCGCACGUUUUAUUUUCCGCUCGGAGCUAUUUUCAGCAGUGCUCUUGUGACCGAGGCGGGGCCCGUCUCCGGGUAUCGACCGCCGGCCUCUCGGCUUACACCCUGACAUCCUCUGCCGGCUCUGACAUCACAGCGUGAAUCCCACCAAUCACACGUUGGUGUGAAGCACCGUGUUUGUUGUUGCCGUGUGGCCGAAGGUCUUGAUUUAGUUGUUGUGUUACCACUGAGUCCCUCAAUGGGCCCCCGGGAGCCCGACCCGUCAGGCCAUCCAGCGGCCCCGGUUGCCCUGACGGAUGAUGCUGUCAACGACCUCGACACCCAUUUCUCUCCGGCCGCCGCCGGCCAAGCGAAUAAGGAGGAAGACCAAGAUGAUCGAGAUGUACAAAAUGUGUGUAAAGUGACAAACUGUCUCAACGCCUGAAACAACUACUGCUGGAUGCAUUGUUCUCAUGUACCGGUGUUUGUCUCCAUCUUCUGGACGGGUGGAGUAAACGCGGCUUCGCUCACGUUCCGUCUCACAAUCGUCACUCAGUCAAAAACUGCUUAAAUAUCUAUAACUUUUUUUGUGAUCUAUGUUAUUUAUUAUAUUUUAUUUAUUCUUAAUAAUGAAAGCUCUUUACAUGUACAUGAACUUUACAUGUUCUUAAGAAAAAGAUGCAGCUUUUUAAACACGGUAAUAACAUUGUAAUAAAUGUAUUAUUAUCAUCUCUUAUGAACUGAAGAUACAUAAUAACUCAUAUUAAAGGCAUACAUUUAUAAAAAGAAAUGGGGAAGUUAUGUAUGCACAGAAGUGGGCAAAACAACCAUAUUAUGUAUUUGUAUAUUCAAUAAAUAUGUAUGUGUGUAUAUGAGAUAUGUACACACACGCUCUUAUGACAGAUGAGAUGAAUUAUCAUCUGAAUAUCUGAAUAAACUGAACAUAACUGUG